This 621-nucleotide ribosomal RNA is filed under the name uncultured bacterium. RNAcentral describes it as "bacterial SSU rRNA". It matches the Rfam family "Bacterial small subunit ribosomal RNA", at positions 202 to 842 of the family's 1533-position model. The record is from RNAcentral.
GAAAGAUUUAUUGGUAUAGGAGGAGUCUGCGGCACAUUAGCUAGUAGGUGAGGUAAAGGCUUACCUAGGCGACGAUGUGUAGCCGGUCUGAGAGGAUGAACGGCCACAAUGGAACUGAGACACGGUCCAUACUCCUACGGGAGGCAGCAGUGGGGAAUAUUGCACAAUGGGGGAAACCCUGAUGCAGCAACGCCGCGUGAGUGAAGAAGGUUUUCGGAUUGUAAAGCUCUGUUAGCAGGGAAGAGGAAGGACGGUACCUGCAGAGGAAGCCACGGCUAACUACGUGCCAGCAGCCGCGGUAAUACGUAGGUGGCAAGCGUUGUUCGGAAUAACUGGGCGUAAAGGAUGCGUAGGCGGUUAAACAAGUUAUAUGUUAAAUAUAUAGGCUUAACCUGUAGAAAGCAUAUAAAACUGUUUAACUAGAGUGCAGGAGAGGUAAGUGGAAUUCCUAGUGUAGCGGUGAAAUGCGUAGAGAUUAGGAAGAACACCAGUGGCGAAGGCGACUUACUGGACUGUAACUGACGCUGAGGCAUGAGAGCAUGGGGAGCAAACAGGAUUAGAUACCCUGGUAGUCCAUGCUGUAAACGAUGGGUACUAGGUGUGGGUUGUGAAUAACAAUUC